CCUACGGGAGGCAGCAGUGGGGAAUAUUCGGCAAUGGAGGAAACUCUGACCCAGCAACGCCGCGUGAAGGAUGAAGGUUUUCCGAUUGGAAACUUCUGUCGCGAGGGAUGAAAAAUGACGGUACCUCGUAAGAAAGCCCCGGCAAACUACGUGCCAGCGGCCGCGGUAAUACGUAGGGGGCCAGCGUUGUCCGGCAGGACUGGGGGUAAAGGUCGUGUAGGCGGCGUAUUAAGUUAUGUGUGAAAGACCGCGGCUCAACCGCGGAAGUGAACAUAAAACUGGUAAGCUUGAGGGCAGGAGAGGUAAGUGGAAUUCCUGGUGUAGCGGUGGAAUGCGUAGAUAUCGGGAGGAACACCAGAGGCGAAGGCGACUUACUGGACUGUAACUGACGCUGAGGCGCGAAAGCGUGGGGAGCAAACAGGAUUAGAUACCCCUGUAGUC
RNAcentral lists this ribosomal RNA (441 nucleotides) under uncultured bacterium. RNAcentral describes it as "partial 16S ribosomal RNA". It matches the Rfam family "Bacterial small subunit ribosomal RNA", at positions 338 to 795 of the family's 1533-position model. The record is from RNAcentral.